Molecule: ribosomal RNA, 493 nt
Filed under: uncultured bacterium
Lineage: Bacteria
Description: partial 16S ribosomal RNA
Rfam family: Bacterial small subunit ribosomal RNA
Source: RNAcentral
AACGAACGCUGGCGGCAUGCUUUACACAUGCAAGUCGAACGGUAACAGGUUAAGCUGACGAGUGGCGAACGGGUGAGUAAUGCAUCGGAACGUGCCCGAUCGUGGGGGAUAACGCAGCGAAAGCUGCGCUAUUACCGCAUACGAUCUAUGGAUGAAAGCGGGGGAUCGCAAGACCUCGUGCUUUAGGAGUGGCCGAUAACUGAUUAGCUAGUUGGUGGGGUAAAGGCUCACCAAGGCGACGAUCAGUAGCUGGUCUGAGAGGACGACCAGCCACACUGGGACUGAGUCACGGCCCAGACUCCUACGGGAGGCAGCAGUGGGGAAUUUUGGACAAUGGGGGCAACCCUGAUCCAGCAAUGCCGCGUGUGUGAAGAAGGCCUUCGGGUUGUAAAGCACUUUUGUUCGGGACGAAACGGUUUGGGCUAAUACCCUGAGCUAAUGACGGUACCGAAAGAAUAAGCACCGGCCAACUACGUGCCAGCCGCCGCCGUAA